GACGAACGCUGGCGGCGUGCUUAACACAUGCAAGUCGAACGGAAAGGCCCUGCUUUUGUGGGGUGCUCGAGUGGCGAACGGGUGAGUAACACGUGAGUAACCUGCCCUUGACUUUGGUAUAACUUCAGGAAACUGGGGCUAAUACCGGAUAGGAGCUCCUGCUGCAUGGUGGGGGUUGGAAAGUUUCGGCGGUUGGGGAUGGACUCGCGGCUUAUCAGCUUGUUGGUGGGGUAGUGGCUUACCAAGGCUUUGACGGGUAGCCGGCCUGAGAGGGUGACCGGCCACAUUGGGACUGGGAUACGGCCCAGACUCCUACGGGAGGCAGCAGUGGGGAAUAUUGCACAAUGGGCGGAAGCCUGAUGCAGCAACGCCGCGUGCGGGAUGACGGCCUUCGGGUUGUAAACCGCUUUCGCCUGUGACGAAGCGUGAGUGACGGUAAUGGGUAAAGAAGCACCGGCUAACUACGUG
This 468-nucleotide ribosomal RNA is filed under the name uncultured bacterium. Its description in RNAcentral is "partial 16S ribosomal RNA". It matches the Rfam family "Bacterial small subunit ribosomal RNA", at positions 28 to 507 of the family's 1533-position model. The record is from RNAcentral.